RNAcentral lists this transfer RNA (75 nucleotides) under Candidatus Moranbacteria bacterium CG_4_10_14_3_um_filter_44_15. RNAcentral's name for it is "tRNA-Arg". It matches the Rfam family "tRNA". From Rfam's summary of the family: Transfer RNA (tRNA) molecules are approximately 80 nucleotides in length. Their secondary structure includes four short double-helical elements and three loops (D, anti-codon, and T loops). The record is from RNAcentral. Lineage: Bacteria; Candidatus Moraniibacteriota. RNAcentral also lists the same sequence under 4 other names.
GCCCUUGUCGUUCAACGGAUAGGACGCAAGCUUGCGGAGCUUGUGAUUGAGGUUCGAUUCCUCACAAGGGCGCAA